UACGUAGGGUGGAAGCGGUGUCCGGAAUUAUUGGGCGUAAAGAGCUCGUAGGCGGUCUGGCGCGUCGGCUGUGAAAACCCGGAGCUCAACUCCGGGCCUGCAGUCGAUACGGGCAGACUGGAGUUCGGCAGGGGAGACUGGAAUUCCUGGUGUAGCGGUGAAAUGCGCAGAUAUCAGGAGGAACACCGGUGGCGAAGGCGGGUCUCUGGGCCGAUACUGACGCUGAGGAGCGAAAGCGUGGGGAGCGAACAGG
RNAcentral lists this ribosomal RNA (253 nucleotides) under uncultured bacterium. RNAcentral describes it as "partial 16S ribosomal RNA". It matches the Rfam family "Bacterial small subunit ribosomal RNA", at positions 524 to 776 of the family's 1533-position model. The record is from RNAcentral.